UACGUAGGGUGCAAGCGUUAAUCGGAAUUACUGGGCGUAAAGCGUGCGCAGGCGGUGAUGUAAGACAGUUGUGAAAUCCCCGGGCUCAACCUGGGAACUGCAUCUGUGACUGCAUCGCUGGAGUGCGGCAGAGGGGGAUGGAAUUCCGCGUGUAGCAGUGAAAUGCGUAGAUAUGCGGAGGAACACCGAUGGCGAAGGCAGCCUCCUGGGAUAACACUGACGCUCAUGCACGAAAGCGUGGGGAGCAAACAGG
Molecule: ribosomal RNA, 253 nt
Filed under: uncultured bacterium
Lineage: Bacteria
Description: partial 16S ribosomal RNA
Rfam family: Bacterial small subunit ribosomal RNA
Source: RNAcentral